This 2250-nucleotide long non-coding RNA is filed under the name Pongo abelii (Sumatran orangutan). Its description in RNAcentral is "lincRNA". Lineage: Eukaryota; Metazoa; Chordata; Mammalia; Primates; Hominidae. The record is from RNAcentral.
AAAAUUCUGGCACCUAUCCACAGCCUGAACCUUGGAGAGCACCUCCCUUGCAUAUGACUUCUGCAAAGGGCAUGUUUCAGCUCACAGGGACAAAGAGCCACUGCACCAGAGAACCAGAAAGAGUUACAGACAUGGCUCACAGGCUUAAGUGUCUUGCUGUAGGUCAUACGGCAGGUUAAUAACAACAUUGGGGCAAGAACACAGCUUACCCUAGUCCUGGGAAAGGCUCCCACACCAAGCUACACACUUUUGCAGUGCUGUUCCACAUGUGAAAAUCCGCUAAGACAAAUAGGUCACAAAAACACCAUGGGAGACGAUGAUGUCUUUUCCUUUUUGUUAUUUUGAUAAAGCUUCAUACAUGAAUGGUAAAAUGGAAAUUUCAGUUGGGGAACUAACAAAUCAACAGAUGUCUUACUCCACAAUGAGGUGCAAGAUCUUGAGGCUGGAUUUAGAAAGAGGAAGAGAAGACCAAUCGCACGGCUCAUCACCCUCACCCAUCUGAUGAUAUGAAAGGUUUGAAGGAAGCCAGAGCUGGAGCCAGAUUUUCCUCGGAUGAGUUUUGAUGAACUAUAAAAAAUGAAGAUGCUCUCCCUUGUCAUCCCCAGUCAAAGAAAAGGCACUUUAAAGAAAUCACUCUUGAGCCAGAUAUUGUGGUUGGAUUUUGGUGGACGCAGUGAAGUCACGUCUGGCUCCCUCCUCAAAUACUGGGAGGAUGAGAAGUGGGAGGCAGCCGUGGGGCCGCUGAGUGGAGAAGGCUGACCUUUGAGCAAACACGUGGGAUUCUUCCCCGCGGAACAGACGUGAGCCAUGAACACGGGAACAAAAGUGUGCUAGAGUAACUCCCGUCCAAGAGAGACCCUUACUAGGGCAAGAAGACCUUGAUCAAAGCGUACCCAGAUGCCGAGGUUCUGAGGAAGGAAAUAUAAGUGACCACCAAGCAUGGUGCUCUGAUUAUUAAGCUAGUUUCUCAGCUCCAAACUCAGCCUUCACUGCUUAGCUUUGUGACAGUGGGAAGGCUGGGGGAGGCCAAACCACCUUUCCCCUUUGCCAGGGCUCCCUGAUCAGUUCUGCCCAUGUGCUACUAAGGGAAACGGCAAGGCUGGAGGAGGGAAAGGGGACACCACCCUUCUCUUUGCGCACUGCUUAUGCCAGCAGCAUCCGAGCAAUACUGCUUGCCCUGUAGUGCUUCUAGAGUCAGAUUUCAGUUCAGUGUCUGGGUUUUUGAACAUUUCUAUAACCAUUCUCCUUCCCCAAUAGCACUCCCACAUCAGAAGCUGAGUCCCAGCUCCCUGACUUCUCCAGAUCCUAGAACCAUCAGCACAAGCAGCAGCACAUAUUCCAUUCCUGUGGGGCUUGGCUCUGUGAGGCUCCUCUCAGCUCCCAGAUUCUCCCAACAUCACUUCUUUCCUUUGUUCCCCUAGACUUCGAGCAGGUCAUUUCUUGCUAUGCCUAUCUAACCCCUUCCCUAAAUUCAAUUCUCUCUGUUAAGAUAACCAGUAUGUUUCUGCUUUCCAGUCUGGAUUCUGAUUGAUACACAUAAGCUGCAUUCCCACAUCAAGGGAACCGUGAGUGUUUAUCCUCCAUGGUAAGGGGAGACUGUGAGUCCCCACGAAAGCAUCCCAAGAGAGGAAGAGUCCCUUUACACACCUGCUGCCCCAUGUGCGGAUGCCCACUGAGCACCAAAGUUGUCAAGGACAAAAGGAAGAACUAGCCCACCAAGUAGGUUUAAAGGGAGCGUCAGACACAAAAAUGACAUGCUCCAUAUUGCAGUCUAGAAGGAACAACAUGGUGAAUUGUCCACUGCAGAACACUUCACUCUGUCUCGAUUACUACAUGGUGAAUUGAAGUUCCAGUAGAGAGGGAAUCGAGCCGAUACUGAGGAGAUCAAUACCCAUCACCGUAUGGAUCUACUUCUUGGAAUUUGCAAGGAAACCAGUCAACAGAUUUUUCAAGCUUUAUAAGUUUAUCUGCCUGAGAAGUUCACCGGCUACAUAACAUCCUGGACUCUGGAGCCCAAGAGAUGUGUAGUUUCCAUUUUGGAGCCAUUUUCUUUAAUAAAUAAGUAGUGAGGCUGCCAUUCUUGUCAAAAUUGAGGACCACAACCUUACUCAUGAAACUGAAAGAUUGCUUGUUACGAGGAGUUCUGUUUAAGCCAUAAAUGCAAUGUAUCCUUUUUAAAUAAAUGUAUCCAGAAUCUUAGGUGUUCAUUGCUCCAAGCUAUGUGCAGAAUAAAAAGAAAAAAAAAAACAG